UCAGGUUUCCAUUGUGGAGGAUGUAAGUGAGCAAGAACAGACCAUAGAAAACAUUUAUUAUCUUUGUUUUGAAUAUUAACAAACGCUUUCUUAGGUUUUAUUUCUUUUGGGAAAUCAAUAUAAGAAGAAGCUUGAAGAGGAUCUGAUUUUAAGAUGUGUACAUCGAAAAAAAAAUUUUUUAAUAGCAAAUCCACUACCAACUACAGUGUUAUCAACAUCUUGUUCUUGUCUGGAAUCAUCAUAAACAUCACAUCUUACAAAAUCUUGAAACAAUAAGAUAAAGUGAGGGUUUGUUCUCAUAUAGGGAGUAGUUUCAUCACCUUCUCUCACCAGAUCAUCAAAACACACUCUCCAGCUUCUGAAGAAGAACUCGACCUUUUUCAUUUGAUGUUGGAUGUUAUCUGUGAGGGCUUCAACAGUUUUGGUGCCAAAAAGAACCUCCCCAAGGACAUUGUGGCAUUCAUGGAGCAACAUUGCCAGGAGAGACAUUACACUUAUCAGGUGAAGAAAUGCACGGAUGACAACUGUGGUUACUGCUUUAUGAAGUCUGACAGACUUCAAUGAAGUUCAUUUCCUGCCGGAUCCUAUGUUGAACAAAGACAGUGGAGAAUUUAUGCCAUUUGUGGAAGUGUAUGGUACACCGACUGAUGACAGUUCAAGGCCAUCUUUGAAGGGAAAAGCACAAGUGACUGAAAAUGACAAGAAAAACAAGGCCAUUCUGAUAUCAGCCAAAGUUCGUAAAACUAUCAAUUGCUGUGAGUGUGGCCGCAGAAGGUUGGUUUACAGUCCAAAGAAAGUUACUGGUGGUGACCUGCGAGCCCUUCAGUGCCUGAAGGAAGAACUUUCAUACUCUUGUGGCACACUGUUCCCUCCAGACUCAAGUUACCACAAGAUGAUUGUGAAGGAAGCUCAAAAUUGUGAAAUGCCGAUGGAAGCAGCUUACUAUGCUGGUAUCACUAGCAGGUUUGAUCCAGUUUGCUAUCACUGUGGUGAUGACGAAGAUCUUGACGACAGUGAUGAAAUGAGGAAGUUGCAGGAGUAUGGUAUUGUGUGGCCGAUAUGUACAGCUUGCUUGGCGAGAGGGAAACAACCAGAAGUGCGAAACCAGAGGAAGGUCAAUGGAGAGAAACAACGCAAGAAAUAACUGUAUGUACUGUGGUGAUGCUAUGUGUAGCAGCCUGGGUUCUGAUGCCAUUGAAGUAUCCCCAUGUGCUUGAUGUGACAGUGAACUAUUGUUGAACACUUGAAAAAUUGGACUACAUGAAAAAUUAGAUAUUGAACUUUAUUUUUAUUUUUCAAACUGUUUUUUUGCCAAUGGCUUUAUAUUGCAGCGGGAUGUGAUAUUCCUGAUGGUCUUUUCUGUUUGAGGUACCAUUACUGCUUUUCUGAUUUUUCUUAAAGAUGUGUUUUCAUAGCCAUUGUUUUUAAUAAAACAGACAAAUUUUUGCAAAACCUGAAUGAGAUUUUGCUCUGCGAGAAUGAUCUUUCAGUCUACAACUUGGACGGUAAUUUUCUCAGCAUUGUUACCAUUUGUUUGAUGAUCCAACAGGUUUUGAUAAGAAAAACAUGCCAGACUAUAUUGUAAAAACAAGUUUUAAUCCUUCUUUAUUGUUUUUCACAUCAGAUGAUACAGUGAACAUGGGCAUCCUGCAUUUUAAUGGUCUUCCAUCUUCAAUGUUUUCUUAGAUCCUUCUGGUCCGGGAUUUAUAUUUAUUUUCCCCCCACCUACCCUUGUCUUUUCCAUGGAACAUCCGAAAAACAAAUCAUAAAAAUAUAUAAUUUCUGAAAAUUGAAAUUAUAUUUAUAUUUAUAUUUCGACCCACCGACCCUACAUUUUCGCUAAAGAACUGCAUAAACCAAGUUAUAAAAUAACUAAGUCCUAAUUAGUGAUUACUUUAUUAGUUCCCACACACAACAUGUUUAUGUAAUUUUAAAAAAUUGCUCCACCCACCCAAGCCCCACCCACACAAGCCCCACCCACACAGGGGGGGGGGGGGGGGGGGGGGGGGGGGGGGGGGGGGGGACCCACACAAGUUCCACCCACCCUCACAAGCCACACCCACACAAGCUCCACCCACACAAGCUCCACCCACCCAAGCCUCACCCACACAAGUUCCACCCACCCUCACAAGCCCCACACUCACAAGCACCACCCACACAAGUUCCACCCACAAAGGUCCACCCACAUAAGCCCCACCCACACAAGCUCCACCCACACAAGCUCCACCCACACAAGCCCCACCCACACAAGCUCCACCAACCCACAGAAGCCCCAACCACCCACCCACACAAGCUCCACCAACCUACACAAGCCCCAAUCUCCCACACAAGCCCCACCUGCCUGUGCUCUCCCACCUUUGACCCACCACCCCCCUCAUCCCACCCACCACCCUUCCAGCACACACACACGGAGAGGGGAGGGGAGAGGGAUGAGGGGGUGGUGGGUCGUUGGGGGAGUGCACCUACCCCGGCCCCCUCUUAUUUUUACAUCUCCUUUAUUCUUUUCUUGUAAUUCAAAAUCUGAAAAUUAUAAGGAAAGCAUUUAUAAUUAAACAAAAGUAAUGACAUUGAACAAAAUCUUCCUUCGCCUGAGUCUGAUGGUUUGUUUUGGUUUUGAAACUCGAUCAAUAUAUUCUGUUCAAAACAAAGAGUGAAGAACAAUUAGGGGAUAUGAAGAUGAUUAUAUUUUGAUAUUAAUAUAACAAUAAAUAUAACAUUUACCUCCAGAAGAUAGUGUCAUGUCAGAUUCCUCCAGAAGAUUAAGUUGUGUGUUUGGUUCAUCCAGACAGGUGUUCAAACUGA
RNAcentral lists this long non-coding RNA (2802 nucleotides) under Eptatretus burgeri (inshore hagfish). RNAcentral's name for it is "lncRNA (ENSEBUG00000017462.1)". Lineage: Eukaryota; Metazoa; Chordata; Myxini; Myxiniformes; Myxinidae. The record is from RNAcentral.